Molecule: ribosomal RNA, 388 nt
Filed under: Escherichia coli
Lineage: Bacteria; Pseudomonadati; Pseudomonadota; Gammaproteobacteria; Enterobacterales; Enterobacteriaceae
Description: bacterial SSU rRNA
Rfam family: Bacterial small subunit ribosomal RNA
Source: RNAcentral
AAUGCUUAGAUAUCACGAAGAACUCCGAUUGCGAAGGCAGCAUGCUGGGCCGUUACUGACGCUGAGGCUCGAAAGUGCGGGUAUCAAACAGGAUUAGAUACCCUGGUAGUCCGCACAGUAAACGAUGGACACUCGCUGUUGGCGAUAGACUGUCAGCGGCCGAGCGAAAGCGUUAAGUGUCCCGCCUGGGGAGUACGGCCGCAAGGCUAAAACUCAAAGGAAUUGACGGGGGCCCGCACAAGCAGCGGAGCAUGUGGCUUAAUUCGAAGCAACGCGAAGAACCUUACCAGGGCUUGACAUCUAGGUGAAGCGGCGGAAACGCCGUGGCCGAGAGGAGCCUAGACAGGUGGUGCAUGGUUGUCGUCAGCUCGUGUCGUGAGAUGUUGGG